CAGUCGCCACGGUAAUACGGAGGGAGCUAGCGUUGUUCGGAAUUACUGGGCGUAAAGCGCGCGUAGGCGGUUACUUAAGUCAGGGGUGAAAUCCCAGAGCUCAACUCUGGAACUGCCUUUGAUACUGGGUGUCUUGAGUGUGAUAGAGGUAUGUGGAACUCCGAGUGUAGAGGUGAAAUUCGUAGAUAUUCGGAAGAACACCAGUGGCGAAGGCGGCCAUCUGGGACAACACUGACGCUGAGGCACGAAAGCGUGGGGAGCAAACAGGAUUAGAUACCCGGGUAGUCCCUGUCUCUUAUAC
Molecule: ribosomal RNA, 301 nt
Filed under: uncultured bacterium
Lineage: Bacteria
Description: partial 16S ribosomal RNA
Rfam family: Bacterial small subunit ribosomal RNA
Source: RNAcentral